UACGGGGGGAGCAAGCGUUGUUCGGAUUUACUGGGCGUAAAGGGCGCGUAGGCGGUCAGCACAAGUCAGCUGUGAAAUCUCCGGGCUUAACUCGGAAAGGUCAACUGAUACUGUGCGACUAGAGUGCGGAAGGGGCAACUGGAAUUCUCGGUGUAGCGGUGAAAUGCGUAGAUAUCGAGAGGAACACCUGCGGCGAAGGCGGGUUGCUGGGCCGACACUGACGCUGAUGCGCGAAAGCCAGGGGAGCGAACGGG
This 254-nucleotide ribosomal RNA is filed under the name uncultured bacterium. RNAcentral's name for it is "partial 16S ribosomal RNA". It matches the Rfam family "Bacterial small subunit ribosomal RNA", at positions 524 to 776 of the family's 1533-position model. The record is from RNAcentral.